RNAcentral lists this ribosomal RNA (910 nucleotides) under uncultured bacterium. RNAcentral's name for it is "bacterial SSU rRNA". It matches the Rfam family "Bacterial small subunit ribosomal RNA", at positions 10 to 916 of the family's 1533-position model. The record is from RNAcentral.
AGUUUGAUCCUGGCUCAGAUUGAACGCUGGCGGCAUGCCUUACACAUGCAAGUCGAACGGCAGCACGGGGGCAACCCUGGUGGCGAGUGGCGAACGGGUGAGUAAUACAUCGGAACGUGUCCUGUAGUGGGGGAUAGCCCGGCGAAAGCCGGAUUAAUACCGCAUACGCUCUACGGAGGAAAGGGGGGGAUCUUCGGACCUCUCGUUAUAGGGGCGGCCGAUGGCAGAUUAGCUAGUUGGUGGGGUAAAGGCCUACCAAGGCGACGAUCUGUAGCUGGUCUGAGAGGACGACCAGCCACACUGGGACUGAGACACGGCCCAGACUCCUACGGGAGGCAGCAGUGGGGAAUUUUGGACAAUGGGCGCAAGCCUGAUCCAGCAAUGCCGCGUGUGUGAAGAAGGCCUUCGGGUUGUAAAGCACUUUUGUCCGGAAAGAAAACCUCUGCCCUAAUACGGCGGGGGGAUGACGGUACCGGAAGAAUAAGCACCGGCUAACUACGUGCCAGCAGCCGCGGUAAUACGUAGGGUGCAAGCGUUAAUCGGAAUUACUGGGCGUAAAGCGUGCGCAGGCGGUCCGCUAAGACAGAUGUGAAAUCCCCGGGCUUAACCUGGGAACUGCAUUUGUGACUGGCGGGCUAGAGUAUGGCAGAGGGGGGUAGAAUUCCACGUGUAGCAGUGAAAUGCGUAGAGAUGUGGAGGAAUACCGAUGGCGAAGGCAGCCCCCUGGGCCAAUACUGACGCUCAUGCACGAAAGCGUGGGGAGCAAACAGGAUUAGAUACCCUGGUAGUCCACGCCCUAAACGAUGUCAACUGGUUGUCGGGUCUUCAUUGACUUGGUAACGUAGCUAACGCGUGAAGUUGACCGCCUGGGGAGUACGGUCGCAAGAUUAAAACUCAAAGGAAUUGACGG